Molecule: non-coding RNA, 587 nt
Organism: Labeo rohita (rohu)
Lineage: Eukaryota; Metazoa; Chordata; Actinopteri; Cypriniformes; Cyprinidae
Source: the annotation of a RefSeq genome assembly
UUCUGUGUAUGAAGAUCAUUUACAUAGAGAGACACUUUGCAUGAGAGUGUUUAUAGUGCUGUGAGUUUAACACUUCAUGACUGAGAGCAGAACAGAACAGAAUCUUCAUCAUCACACAAGACAAAACAACAAUGAACAACAUCAUCAUCCUCAUCUGGACUCUCUGUAUAUGUAUUCCAGGUGUCAGUGGGCAGGUGACUGUGACUCAGACUCCCUCUGUAAAAAUGGUUCAGAUUGGUGAAUCAGUCACUAUAAACUGCAAAACAAACACACAAGUGGGCGAUUACUGUGUAGGUUCAUAUACUUGUAUGGCCUGGUACCAACAGAAACCUGGAGAAGCUCCUAAACUCCUGAUUCAUUCAGCAAACCGAAAAGAGUCAAACACACCAUCUAGAUUCAGUGGCAGCGGAUCCAGAACUGAUUUCACUCUGACCAUCAGUGGAGUCCAGACUGAAGAUACAGGAGAUUAUUACUGUCAGAGUUUACACUAUCCAAACAGUAAAUAUGUGUUCACACAGUGAUAAAGAGUCGUACAAAAACCUCCAUCAGUCAGAGUCACAGUGACUGCACUGAUACAGAUGAGAGAA